Molecule: ribosomal RNA, 443 nt
Filed under: uncultured bacterium
Lineage: Bacteria
Description: partial 16S ribosomal RNA
Rfam family: Bacterial small subunit ribosomal RNA
Source: RNAcentral
GCCAGACUCCUACGGGAGGCAGCAGUGGGGAAUAUUGCACAAUGGGGGAAACCCUGAUGCAGCGACGCCGCGUGAAGGAAGAAGUAUUUCGGUAUGUAAACUUCUAUCAGCAGGGAAGAAAAUGACGGUACCUGACUAAGAGGCCCCGGCCAACUACGUGCCAGCAGCCGCGGUAAUACGUAGGGGGCAAGCGUUAUCCGGAUUUACUGGGUGUAAAGGGGGCGCAGACGGCAGCGCAAGCCAGGAGUGAAAGCCCGGGGCCCAACCCCGGGACUGCUCUUGGAACUGCGCGGCUGGAGUGCAGGAGGGGCAGGCGGAAUUCCUGGUGUAGCGGUGAAAUGCGUAGAUAUCAGGAGGAACACCGGUGGCGAAGGCGGCCUGCUGGACUGCGACUGACGUUGAGGCCCGAAAGCGUGGGGAGCAAACAGGAUUAGAUACCCGUA